This 897-nucleotide small RNA is filed under the name uncultured fungus. RNAcentral describes it as "eukaryotic LSU rRNA". The stretch from base 464 to 897 matches the Rfam family "Eukaryotic large subunit ribosomal RNA", at positions 1 to 429 of the family's 3401-position model. Lineage: Eukaryota; Fungi. The record is from RNAcentral.
UCCGUAGGUGAACCUGCGGAAGGAUCAUUAAUAGUGCCCUCUGAUGCAAAUCAUUGGGUUAGAUCUGCUCUCUUCGCAAGAAGAGGGUUUCCAUACACACCGUGAACUGUGGCUUCGGCCAUCACAAACUGUUAGUAAUGAAUGUAAUAUCAUAACAAAAACAAAACUUUUAACAACGGAUCUCUUGGCUCUCGCAUCGAUGAAGAACGCAGCGAAAUGCGAUAAGUAAUGUGAAUUGCAGAAUUCAGUGAAUCAUCGAAUCUUUGAACGCACCUUGCGCCCUUUGGUAUUCCGAAGGGCAUGCCUGUUUGAGUGUCAUGAAACCUCACCCCACUUGGGUUUUUGCCUGAGCGGUGGUGUAUUGGGUGUUGCCUUGCUAAAGGCUCGCCUUAAAGACAUAAGCACCUUGGAUGUAAUACGUUUCAUCCUUCUGGGUGGCUGAUAACCCCACAUAUUCAUGAUCUGGCCUCAAAUCAGGUAGGGCUACCCGCUGAACUUAAGCAUAUCAAUAAGCGGAGGAAAAGAAACUAACUAGGAUUCCCUUAGUAACGGCGAGCGAACCGGGAUGAGCUCAAAUUUAAAAUCUGGCGUCUUUCAGGCGUCCGAGUUGUAAUCUAUAGAGGCGUUUUCCGCGCCGGACCGCGUCCAAGUCUCUUGGAAUAGAGUAUCAAAGAGGGUGACAAUCCCGUACUUGACGCGACAACCGGUGCUCUGUGAUACGUUCUCAAUGAGUCGAGUUGUUUGGGAAUGCAGCUCUAAAUGGGUGGUAAAUUCCAUCUAAGGCUAAAUAUUGGCGAGAGACCGAUAGCGAACAAGUACCGUGAGGGAAAGAUGAAAAGCACUUUGGAAAGAGAGUUAAACAGCACGUGAAAUUGUUAAAAGGGAAACGCUUGAAGU